AGAGCGUAUGGCGGAUGCCUAGGCUCUCGGAGACGACGAAGGACGCGAUAAGCUGCGAAAAGCUACGGGGAGGUGCAAAUGACUUUUGAUCCGUAGAUGUCCGAAUGGGGCAACCCGCAUAGUUGUUGACUAUGUACCAAUUUAUUGGGGAAAACCCAGGGAACUGAAACAUCUAAGUACCUGGAGGAAAAGAGAACAAUAGUUAUUCUGUUAGUAGUGGCGAGCGAAAACGGAACAGCCCUAAAAUGCUAGAUAAGUGAGUGGAAUCGUUUGGGAAGACGAAUCGAAGAGGGUGACAAUCCCGUACACGAAGCGAAUUUAGUACUAAUCGAGUAUGGCGAGGCCGGUGAAACCUUGUCUGAAGAUGCCAGCACCAUCUGGUAAGGCUAAAUACUCCCGAGAGACCGAUAGUGAACCAGUACUGUGAAGGAAAGGUGAAAAGAACCCUAAGAAAGGGAGUGAAAAGAACCUGAAACCAUACGCUUACAAGCGGUCGGAGCAAUGUGUUUACACAGAGUGACGGCGUGCCUUUUGCAUAAUGAGCCUACGAGUUACUCCUCACUAGCAAGCUUAAGGUUUUAAGGACCGGAGGCGGAGCGAAAGCGAGUCUGAAUAGGGCGAUUAGUUAGUGGGGGUAGACGCGAAACCUGGUGAUCUACCCAUGGGCAGGUUGAAGCUGAGAUAGUAUCUCAGUGGAGGACCGAACCGGUACAUGUUGAAAAAUGUUCGGAUGACCUGUGGGUAGGGGUGAAAGGCCAAUCAAACCAGGAGAUAGCUCGUACUCCCCGAAAUGCAUUUAGGUGCAGCGUUGGGUCGAGUGUCAUGGAGGUAGAGCUACCAAUAGGGCUAGGGGGCUUCACCGCCUACCAACCCCUGAUGAACUCCGAAUGCCAUGACACUGCACCAGCAGUGAGGCUAUGGGUGCUAAGGUCCGUAGCCAAGAGGGAAACAACCCAGACCAUCAGCUAAGGUCCCCAAGUGUAUAUUAAGUUGAAUGAACGAGGUGGGAAUGCUAAGACAGCUAGGAUGUUGGCUUGGAAGCAGCCAUUCAUUUAAAGAGUGCGUAACAGCUCACUAGUCGAGCGUUCCUGCGCGGAAAAUAAUCGGGCAUCAAAUAUACCACCGAAGCUAUGGAUUCAUAUCAAGAGAUAUGAGUGGUAGGGGAGCAUUCUGUACAGCGAAGAAGGGUAACUGUGAGGUUACCUGGAGCGUACAGAAAAGAAAAUGUAGGCAUGAGUAACGAUAAGAAGGGUGAGAAACCCUUCCGCCGUAAGACUAAGGUUUCCUCGAUCUAUGCUAAUCAGAUCAGGGUUAGUCGGGACCUAAGGAGUAUCCGAAAGGAGAAUUCGAUGGAAAACGGGUUAAUAUUCCCGUACCGGUAUAUACUGCGAUGUGGUGACGAAGGAGUGUAAGGACCGCCAACAGACGGAAUUGUUGGUUGAAGUGCGAAGACGUUGAUUGUGUAGGUAAAUCCGCACAUGAGUUGAUGUACGAUAGUACUCAAAGGCUUAGGCCGGCGAGAUAGUGUCCCCAAACAAGCUUCCAAGAAAAACCACUAAGCAUAGGUAUAUAGCGCCCGUACCGUAAACCGACACAGGUAGUCGAGGAGAGUAUCCUCAGGCGCUCGAGUGAUUCGUGGCUAAGGAACUAGGCAAAAUGGUCUCGUAACUUCGGGAGAAGAGACGCUCUAUUUAAAAUUAGAGCCGCAGUGAAGAGGCCCAGGCGACUGUUUAGCAAAAACACAGGACUAUGCGAACUCGAAAGAUGAAGUAUAUGGUCUGACACCUGCCCGGUGCUGGAAGGUUAAGGAAGGGGCUUAGUGCUUGCACGAAGGUCUUAACUGAAGCCCCAGUAAACGGCGGCCGUAACUAUAACGGUCCUAAGGUAGCGAAAUUCCUUGUCGGGUAAGUUCCGACCUGCACGAAUGGUGUAACGAUCUGGGCACUGUCUCAGCCACGAGCUCGGUGAAAUUGAAGUAUCGGUGAAGAUGCCGAUUACCCGCAAUGGGACGAAAAGACCCCGUGCACCUUUACUACAGCUUCACAUUGUGCUUGGAUAUAAGAUGUGUAGGAUAGGUGGGAGACUACGAAGUUGCGGCGCCAGUCGUGAUGGAGUCGUCCUUGAAAUACCACCCUUCUUAUAUUUAGGUUCUAAUCCCGCGAAAACGGGAGACAUUGUGUGGUGGGUAGUUUGACUGGGGUGGUCGCCUCCUAAAGAGUAACGGAGGCUCGCAAAGGUACCCUCAGCAUGGAUGGUAAUCAUGCGCAGAGCGUAUUAGUACAAGGGUGCUUGACUGGGAGAGAGACAUCUCGAUCAGGUAGGAAACUAGGCUAAAGUGAUCCGGUGGUUCCGUAUGGAAGGGCCAUCGCUCAAAGGAUAAAAGGUACGCCGGGGAUAACAGGCUGAUCUCCCCCAAGAGCUCAUAUCGACGGGGGGGUUUGGCACCUCGAUGUCGGCUCGUCACAUCCUGGGGCUGGAGAAGGUCCCAAGGGUUGGGCUGUUCGCCCAUUAAAGUGGCACGCGAGCUGGGUUCAGAACGUCGCAAGACAGUUCGGUCUCUAUCUAUUGUGGGCGCAGGAAUAUUGAGAAGAUCUGACACUAGUACGAGAGGACCGUGUUGGACAAACCUCUAGUGUAUCGGUUGUGGCGCCAGCUGCAUUGCCGAGUAGCUAUGUUUGGAAUGGAUAAGUGCUGAAAGCAUCUAAGCACGAAGCCAACUUCAAGAUGAGUAUUCCAGUUCUUCGGAACGAAGGGUUGU
Molecule: ribosomal RNA, 2758 nt
Filed under: seawater metagenome
Description: bacterial LSU rRNA
Rfam family: Bacterial large subunit ribosomal RNA
Source: RNAcentral